AGGUAUAAUCCGCGCGUUGGUGCUCGCGGCGUCGUUCAAGCGCUGCAGUUCAACGGGAAGCAGGAGGGCCACGCAAUCAGCGCUGCCUAACCUGCGCUGCCCCCGCAACGGUAAGUGGAUGAAUCAGCUGAUUCCGCUUCCAUCUAGGCCACUGAGCGUUUCGAACACGCGCUUGGGAAGGCGAUGGAGGUUUGUCCACCAGCCCGGAUACCGGCCAACGACUACGCCGGCAC
This 233-nucleotide non-coding RNA is filed under the name Duganella sacchari. Lineage: Bacteria; Pseudomonadati; Pseudomonadota; Betaproteobacteria; Burkholderiales; Oxalobacteraceae. The record is from RNAcentral.